AUGGCGACGGCGGCGAGCUCCGGCGGACCAUCGGACCAUCAGUAUGUCUCGGUGAAGUUGGAGAGCCCCCGCCUGGCGGCGCUCGACCUCGCCCCUCACCUCUUCGGCUCCCACCCCGCCGCUGGCUCGUGGGACCCUUCCAAAGCCCUGCCGAUGGAGCGGGCGGCGGCCGCCAUUUGGGAGCUCAGCUGCGUCCUCCCUUCUCGACACGAAACACUGGAUUUCAAGUUACUAUUGAAGCCAAAAGCCGAUAGCUCAGAGUGCAUUGUUGAGGAGGGACCGAACCGACCGCUAGGUUGCGGGAGCAAUCAAGUGGAAAUGACGGAUGCAGUCUUUAAACUCGCUGAGAAAGAUUCACUUGAGUGUAAGGUUUGGGUUGAGACAGAGAUGUUGUCCCCAUUUGACCUAGCCGCAAGCUGGAAGGCUCAUCAGGAGAAUCUUCAGCCUUCAAGGGUGCGAGGGACCUAUGAUGUCGUUAUGAACACUGAGACUGAAGCCAGGGACGAGAAUGACUUCGCUUCUGGUUUGGAGCUUGAUUUAGAGAAGUAUGUAGUACCAACAACACCCAACAUGGGCUCAGGUGUUGUUUAUGCAGCUAACUUGACUGAGAAUCCCCGCUCUUUAUUGGACACCGGUAUCUCACCAAACAAUUUGAUCAAAGGUGACGCACCCCUGAAUCAUUAUGCUAACACAAAGAAGGAUGUAGAUGGAAGACAUACUCCGUCACAGGAAGAACAAAAGGCAGUCUUUGUAGAUAGAGGUGUUGGUUCACCAAGGUUUGCUAGACCAACAAACGAAACCGUUUCAACGAGCAACAUCAAGCAGGAUUCUGAAACAAAGUUGGGUAUGCCAGCAGCAGAAGGAGCUGUUGCAGCAGCAGCUGUAGCUGAUCAGAUGUACGGACCAAAAGAGGACCGCAAGUUGGUCAUUGUGCUGGUUGGGCUGCCAGCUCGUGGUAAGACCUUUACAGCAGCUAAGCUUACAAGAUAUCUCCGAUGGUUAGGUCAUGAAACAAAACACUUCAAUGUUGGAAAGUACCGGCGGCUCAAGCAUGGCACUAAUCAGACUGCUGAUUUCUUUCGUGGAGACAACAAGGAGGGUGUGGAGGCACGUAAUGAGGUGGCAGCAUUAGCAAUGGAAGAUAUGCUAUCAUGGAUGGAGGAAGGUGGCCAGGUUGGUAUUUGUGAUGCCACAAACAGCACAAGAAGUCGAAGGAACAUGCUGAUGAAAAUGGCUGAAGGAAAAUGUAAGAUCAUCUUUGUGGAAACAAUAUGUAAUGAUCAGGAUGUUCUUGAGAGAAAUAUUCGCCUGAAAGUUCAACAAAGUCCUGAUUAUGCGGAGCAAACGGAUUUUGAAGCGGGUGUGCGAGAUUUCAAAGAGCGACUGGCAUAUUAUGAAAAGGUGUAUGAACCAGUAGAUGAAGGGUCAUACAUAAAAAUGAUCGAUAUGGUUAGUGGGAACGGGGGCCAAUUGCAGAUCAACAAUAUAAGUGGUUACUUGCCUGGACGGAUUGUCUUCUUCUUGGUGAACUGUCAUCUUACACCUCGCCCUAUCCUGUUAACUAGGCAUGGGGAAAGUUUAGAUAAUGUCAGAGGAAGAAUCGGUGGAGAUUCAUCUUUGAGUGAGGUCGGGGAGGUUUAUUCAAGGAAACUUGCAAGCUUUGUAGAGAAGCGACUGAAGUCUGAGAGAACCGCCUCCAUAUGGACUAGCACACUCCAGAGGACAAUAUUAACUGCACAGCCAAUCAUCGGAUUUCCAAAGAUACAAUGGCGUGCUCUUGAUGAGAUAAAUGCUGGUGUUUGUGAUGGGAUGACAUAUGAUGAAGUAAAGAAAAAUAAACCUGAAGAAUAUGAAUCACGUCGUAAAGACAAGCUGAGGUACCGUUAUCCUAGAGGAGAAUCCUACCUCGAUGUCAUCCAGAGAUUAGAACCUGUAAUAAUUGAGCUUGAAAGGCAACGUGCCCCAGUGGUAGUCAUAGCUCACCAGGCUGUGUUGAGAUCACUAUAUGCAUAUUUCGCGGACAAACCACUGGAGGAAGUUCCUAAGAUUGAAAUACCUCUUCAUACAAUCAUUGAGAUAAAAAUGGGCGUCACUGGUGUUGAAGAGAAGAGAUACAAACUCAUGGACGCAGUGAACCCAACUGCAGAGGUCUGA
This 2154-nucleotide ribosomal RNA is filed under the name Triticum aestivum (bread wheat). Its description in RNAcentral is "partial small subunit ribosomal RNA". Lineage: Eukaryota; Viridiplantae; Streptophyta; Magnoliopsida; Poales; Poaceae. The record is from RNAcentral.